Molecule: non-coding RNA, 210 nt
Organism: Pelobates cultripes (western spadefoot toad)
Lineage: Eukaryota; Metazoa; Chordata; Amphibia; Anura; Pelobatidae
Source: the annotation of a GenBank genome assembly
CUCUUUUAUCUAAAGUAAUCAGGAAUAUUUUAUUACUAGUGUUCUGGUCUAAAAAGAGGUGCAAAAAUUUAAAAGGCUUGGAGUUACAAAUGGAAUGUUGGCUGUGGAUGUACACAUUGGUCGCAUUACUCCAUCAUAGUCUCCAUGAGAAGUUUGAGCAAUCCUUUUUUGUCACAUUACUCAUAACAUCCAUGUUUCAGGUUUUCUGUG